ACGGGAGGCAGCAGUGAGGAAUAUUGGUCAAUGGGCGGAAGCCUGAACCAGCCAAGUAGCGUGCAGGAUGACGGCCCUAUGGGUUGUAAACUGCUUUUGUGCGGGGAUAAAAAGCGGGACGUGUCCCGCCUUGUAGGUACCGCAAGAAAAAGGACCGGCUAAUUCCGUGCCAGCAGCCGCGGUAAUACGGAAGGUCCGGGCGUUAUCCGGAUUUAUUGGGUUUAAAGGGUGCGCAGGCGGGAUGUCAAGUCAGUGGUGAAAUGGUGCGGCUCAACCGUAGCAUUGCCGUUGAAACUGGCGUCCUUGAGUGCGAAUGAGGUACGCGGAACGUGUCAUGUAGCGGUGAAAUGCAUAGAUAUGACACAGAACACCGAUUGCGAAGGCAGCGUACUGGGACGCGACUGACGCUGAGGCACGAAAGUGCGGGGAUCGAACAGGAUUAGAUACCCUGGUA
Molecule: ribosomal RNA, 454 nt
Filed under: uncultured Prevotella sp.
Lineage: Bacteria; Pseudomonadati; Bacteroidota; Bacteroidia; Bacteroidales; Prevotellaceae
Description: partial 16S ribosomal RNA
Rfam family: Bacterial small subunit ribosomal RNA
Source: RNAcentral